UCAUCUUAAGUUGAACUGUAUCUGUAAAGACCUUAUUUCCAAGUAAGGUCACAUUCACAGCUACUGGGGGAUAGGACCUCAACAUAUCUUUUUGGGGGACAUAAUUCAACUCAUAAUACCCAACAUGAUAACUGUUCAUCCCAUGAAAUUUAAUGUCUCUCAAAAGGUGAUCUCAGGGCAUUUAAUCUGUGACAGAAACUCCCAUAGGAAACAUUCCAACCAGAAGCUCCUUUCACAGCUGGUCACUCCUCCUACCCCAUCCGAGGUCCUGGGGCAGGGUGAGGCAGGUGGGGACAAGAAGAAGGCUGUCUCGGGUGUAGAAAGAGAAGACCCUUAUUCACCCGGCACUCUGUUCAUGAAUGAGCUAUCCAGCAUAGGAUAUAAUAAAUCGCUUUAGGAGUGGUAGACUCCAAACAUUUUUUUGGUCCCAGUUAUCCUAAUCAAUUAAACAAACUCUAGAACACAUCUUGAAGUGCAGGCAUUGGGACAUUAUGAAACUUACACAGAAUUCAAAAAUUUACAAGGGCUAAAUAAAACAGGGUCUGACAUCUAAUAUUUUCUUCCCACAUUCCCAUGCACUGUCUGGCUCAACCAUCCCCAACCCUCACUCUCAUCCUGGUGGACACAUGCCUAGUGAUGUGAUCAGCUGGUUCACAGGGGGCUGGUGAUGGUGGAUAUACAGCUUUUGCCAAUUUCCAUGGCAUAACUACUCCAAAUAUGGCCAAUUUCAAACUACCAACAUGAAGGCACAGACACAGAGUUUGGAAGAGAUGUUAGCAAUUGGCUAUUGCAAGCUGAUAUAAGCUAGCUCCAGCACAGCACCACCGCUACCUUUAAGCUCCUUGUGUUAGUGCAAGGGUUGGCAAACUGCAGCCUAAAGGCCAAAUACAGCUUAUUGCCUGUUUUGUGUAUUUGCCAACACAGCCAUGCUGUCUAUGGCCUUCUUUGUUCUGUAACAACAGAGCAUGUGGCAGGAUAUAUAGAAUCUGGCAGUCUUUAAUAAGUGCUGACUCCUGCUCUACAGGAGAACACAGAUUGUCUUCAGCUUCCAAACAUUCAUCUCUGAGUCAGUCUAGAGCCUGAAAUUUAGACUGAAGCACAGUUUCCACCAGAGGGCUGCAAUGCAUGAUAGUUGGGGUUUUCACCUCUCACCCAAAAGCCUACUCAAUUUUUUACUGCAAAAACAUGUUAUCAUCAUUAUUUUUUACUUAGCCCACCUUUCCUUGGCAAUUUUCCAUAGGAAAAUGCAUUCUAAAUUUCAACUAAUCAGGGGACUUGGAGCCUCUGGACACCCCCUUGUUCCUUGCCCACAGUCCCUUGCAGAAGGUGCCUUAUCAGAGCGGCUCCAUGCAGGGGCUCAGGACAGGAUCAGAUGUCAGUUGCACCAAGGGGGCAGGGACAGAUCCUCUCUGCUGACCAUGCAGAAGGGACUGUUCAGUGCACCGUCAUGGUCCUGGUGAUUUCUGGCCCAUAAGGGAAUUUUCACAUGCAUCGGGUGAUUGUCACAUCAGCACAACACUGUGAGGAAGGCAGAGUGAGAAUUUGUGUGCCCAUUUUAUAGGUGAGAAAACAGAUGCAGAGACAUUAAGUAACUUCACCACAGUCAUGCGGGUUUUAAGUGGCAGACUUUCAGGUGUUGUGACUCCUAGUCCAGAGUUCUUUGCACUGCCCCUGAGGUGCUAAAACUCUACUGUGCUUUAAGACUCACUUGGGGAGCUUCCUAAAAAGAGAGAUUGCACAACCUGAGAUUCUUGUUUAACUGUUUUGGGAUGUAGCUCAGGGAUCUAGCUGCCUUAAAAAAAAAAACUCCCAAGUAAUUCUGAUGCAAGCGGUUCUUUCUUGUCCACCUUUGAAGAAACACUGCCUCCUCCCUAUACAUUUCAUUAGAAAAUGGUAACAUGUUUUUCAGCCUGAGAGCCAUUUCUGGGUGACCGGACGUCGGCAGCCCGCUGUACUAGCUUUCAGUCUAGGCUUAAACACACAUGAUAGGAGAUGUCCUACUCCAGAUGAUAUGAGUCUGAACCAUGGAAAAAUUCCAUUGUGUGGCACAUCUGGUGGGUGUGCACUGUCCCCAGCAGUGAGGCACCCAGUGAAGACAGCAGCUGGGAGAGGCUUAGUUACAUGCAGUGGGACAGUGUGGGCUAGACUGCUGAGCCCUCUGCAGUUUACUCUGUGUCAGGCAAUGAGGGUGAAAGGCUGAUCAGACCCACGUGCAGACCAUACCCUCCAGGGAGACAGAUAUCAGUCAGGACAACCCCAAGUGUAGCUGGAGAAGCAGUGCCCAGGUAUGACCGGAUGUGUAUCCAACCAGGAAAUCUGCAUAUAAAUAUAAGAGGAGAAAAUGAACAGAUGUUGCUCUUAUAUGUAGAUAUUUAUGAAGAGCAUAUAAUUUUGUUUUGUGUGUUUUAAGAAGUUUAUAAGUAUGCCUUAAAAAUGUAUGGUAUAUACUGUAGGUAUUUUUUCCAUUAGAUAUUUUGUUUUUCAUACUUAUCCACAUUGACAUUGUAGCAACAGUAUAAUAUAACAACCUCCUCUACAAAAGCAGAAGGAAGUGAAGCUUUGGAAGGAAGCACCCAGUGAGCUUGCCCCUUUCAGGUGGGUGCAGUGAGCAGGAGUCAGUGAGGUUGAGAUCCUUUGAGAGGAGGCAGUCAUUAACCAGGAAAUCUGCACUGCAUCCUGGCCACACCUAACCCUUGGACAAUGGUGCUUGGAGCGCCUUCCAGCUCUUAAGGCUUGCGAUUUCUUUCUCUCACUCUUCACCCACGAUGAUUAAAUCUUCUCCUACAGAGUUGGACAACAAAGCCUUGAGUUCCUGCCUCCCCUGGUGUGAUCACGAGGCAUAGACAUGGCCAGGAACAUGUAGGUGUCUUUGAAAGCUGAACAAGUUAGUAAAUUUCAAACCUCAUUUCACCCACCAGUAAAAUGGGAAUAAUAAUAAACCUAUUUUACAUAGGGUUGACAAGAGGAGUAAAGAGGGAUUCAAUGAAAGUUCGUUAUUAUCAUUUGUAGUAGCAGUGUUGAUAAUAUCAACUGAAAGUUCAUUAUCAUUAUUAGUAGCAGUAUUGAUAACCCUCUUUUCUGUGCCUUCUCACUGGUGGGCCCAGGCCAUCAGCAAUGCCCAGGGUGUCAUGGAUCUCUGCUGCAUCGGGCACCAGCUGUGUCAAUGGUGAGAACAGUACAAGGGUGGGCAGGGCAAGGCAGGAAGCACCCAGGAGCAGCAGCUUCAUGGGGUGAAGAUGUCAGGAGCUUAGGGACAGUCAGAGCGGGUGUGCCUCCUCUUGUGGAGCCUUUCUGCGUGGGUAGGAACUGCUGCAGCUGUGGCCAUGGAUUCACCUGAAUAUGGGUGGAAUUAGGCAUUCAGCUGGGUUAGCUGUGCCUAGAAGGAGGAACUCUAAACUGAGAACUUGUCCCUAUUGCCACCUCUGAUAGGCAGAUGAUCCAUCCAUCAGUGGCUGAGCUGAGGUGUGCAUG
RNAcentral lists this long non-coding RNA (3471 nucleotides) under Homo sapiens (human). Its description in RNAcentral is "non-protein coding lnc-IL37-2:1". The record is from RNAcentral. Lineage: Eukaryota; Metazoa; Chordata; Mammalia; Primates; Hominidae.